This is an RNA transcript of Monomorium pharaonis (pharaoh ant), 4014 nucleotides long. RefSeq lists it as uncharacterized. The record is from RefSeq and is a predicted model, not a curated record. NCBI's taxonomy places the organism in Eukaryota, Metazoa, Arthropoda, Insecta, Hymenoptera, Formicidae. The transcript is spliced from 5 exons.
CUUGCUGUGAUUUUACUUAUAAUCAUAUUAUUAUUAUUAUUACAGAUCAAAGACGUAGAAGAACCCGAGCGGGCGCAUAUAGACAACAGCAACGCUAUGCAUUUUUUGUUCCAGUUAAGCCACGCUCAUAUGAAUUAAGGACGGCCAAGACAAUAUAAUCGACAAUAAAUCAAUUAAUUAAACCAAUCUUACCAGUUACUUUCAAUUAAUUAUUAUAAUGUUUAGUGUUUUUUUAAUUGUCGAAUAAAAUGUUUUGUAAUUUUUAAUAAAAAUUAAAUACAUUAUUAUAUAAUACAAUGUGUUGAAAACAUUAAUCAUUCAUUAUCAAUAUAACAAUUUUGUAUUGCUUUUUUUAAUCAUGACUGCAUUCAUUUAAUCGUACUUCGAUUAAAAAUCAAUAAAAUUAAACAUUAAGCGAUCGAAUAACACAAGCAUUAGGAUAAUAAGUUGAUUCUUUCUCGUCAUUCUAUUUUAAAGUCCAAAUAUAUUUUCUUUCUUUUUCUUAUAGGAGGUAGAAUCUUAAUUUAUUAAAAGUUCGGAUAGCAAAAUAUUUUUAUUAAAUUUAAAAUGUUUCUGCCAGAUUUAUGAUUAUUAAUUGUAUUAUGGAUUAAAAAUUUAAAAAUACAAUAACAAAAAUGUAAUAGUUUAUAAAUUGUAAAUAUAAUAUAAGUUAACAUAUCUUGCUCUCUAAAUCACAAUCAGUGAAAACUCGAUCAGUGGAACAAAAUCAGUGGAAAUACAUUGACGUUCAGUGAUAUACAUAUUGAUUUUCAGUGUAUUUAUUUCACUGACAAUCAGUGAAAUAAAUACACUGACCUUUCAGUGACUGUACAAUAAUUCUAAAGUGAAAAUCACUUAAAGACAGUGAAUAUUCACUGAUUAUCACAGUUAUAAGUACGUCACUGCGAAUCAGUGAAUAUCCACUGAUUAAGAUUUAGAGAGUGAAAUGCGGUAGUAAAUAAUGUACCUGUUAGAGCUUCUGUUUGUUAUGACUUGUAGCUCUUUUAUGAGACACUGCGCACGUCACAGUGUUUGUGCUGUUUACUUCCGAAUGGGUUAGGUGGUUAAUAAACCUUCAUUUUAAUUGAUUAGUUAGCAGCGUUUAUUGAUCCGCGAUCUUAUCGAUAUGGCACCGUGAAAAACAAUGGUGGUGGUCGCAUUGGCGGUAAGGCCUGAUCUACAAUGGAUGUCGUAAGUCGUAUCGUAAGAAAUUUACCCAAUCAUGUUCGCUUUUCUUCUCUCUUUCUUUUCUAAGAUCAACUAUGAUUGGCUAGAUUUCUUACGACACGACUUACAACAUCCAUUGUAGACUAGACCUAACGCGCGCAGAUCCGCGUACGGAGAGCGCCCUCGCGAAAGCGUGGGUGAACUAGAACGCAGCCAAGACCGGCUCACAUAGCGCGUCAAGAGAAUUGAGAUGAACAUAAAAAUCCAAUAUUGUCUUCGGUUAGGUCUUGGGUUAGGUCUUAGGUUAGGUCCACCAAUAUCGAGGUAUUAAUUUUUCAAAUUAUGCAAAAGAGAGCGCGCCGAGGGAAGAACUCGAUCCGCUCGAGCUAUAACAUGGAAGAAAAGAUCUAUCGUGAAUAUACGAUAAGCUUUCAUUAAUUUAUUGUUCACAAUUACGAUAGAAAUUAAUUAGGUUCUUGCAGAUCCCCCCAGAUAGCCAGUUUGGUAUAAUAAAGAUAUUAGCAUCUUCCUAUGCAUUUAUGUCGUCCGUUGUGCUGUUGUCUGCUAGCAUUUGAUGUCGGAAAUAAAAUUCUUUGCACGUUUCAAACAUUAUACUAGCAUUAGAUCAGUGUCGAAUGCUAGCAAAUAACAGCACAAGGGACGACGUAAAUGCAUAGCAAGAUGCUAACAUCUUUAUUAGCAACAUGAGAACAAUUUGUGCUCAUACAUACAUUUGUGGCUAUCUGGGCCAUACGCUAAUAUCCCGAUUAUUAGUGGAUCUCACCCAAGACAAUAUUGGACUUUUAUGUUCAUCUCAAUCUCUUCUACUUUUUUACGAGCGUUGACCAAUAUGUUCAUGGACACCCUGUAUACAUAUUAUAUUUCUACAUACUAAUUUAUGGAAAAAAUAAUGUCUUAGAUUGUCUAGAUAUUGUGACAUGACAGCCGCAGGCUGCUGUCCGUCACAAGGCCCUGAGGGCCCUUACGCAAUAACAUCACGCGGGCCCUGCGUCCUCCCGCUCGGGAGCGGACGCAAAAGCGUAUUCUUUUGUACUUUGUGUGUGUGACGUCCCACGUGCUGUCCAUCUAAUUACUUGUUAAGAUUUUUGCGAACGUUAUACCGCGGGUGCGGCAGAGAUCGGUGGCUAUGAAGAUCUCGUUGUAGUUGUCGGACGUCUCGUCUCAACGGAAAAUCUUCCCGGAGAUUGCAGAGGAACGGGCAACGAGGGAGUCAAAGAAGACCCUUUUAAGCGGGGGUCCGCAGGUAAUGUCGCCCUUAUCUUGCCUACCGUUUGUGCCAUGUAAGAAUUCCGAUACUGCCGCUGAAUCACGCUUUCAGGACCCAACGACGGCGCGCGAUGCCGACAUCCCGACGGGGCGAUUGCAGACCCGAUGCCGCGGGAAGUCCGGCGAAAGAAUCACGACAACUCAAGAUGCGCCGACGCCCCGUCGAGGAGGAAAUGACGCCCCGAUGGCGGAGGAUACGCCGGGCGAGGAGAAAAGAGUCGGGCGCGCGAGAAAGCGCCAGGAUUCCCGUGCCCGGGGCCCAUAAUCAUCGACCGCCGUGCGUGGAUCGAUCAGCCGACGACAGCGUGGGCACCGCGCUCUGCGCGAAAAUCGAUUUUCGCGAAAUCAACCAAUAAGGGCCAGGAACGCCGGAGGCAAGGUGGGGCGCGCCGCCGAGCGGCCCCCGCGAGAUCCAGGAUUCCUCACUCGUGCUGCGGACGUAGAGAUAAGACUGUGUGUGUCCCGAGUUCCCGAGCCGAGUUGUGAGGAAGGACGUAGGGACGAGAGUCAUCCCGACCCGGAGGAGGCCACGAGAAGAGAGGCAAAGUGCGGAUUCGACCGUCAAUCACUUAAGAUGCCUUUUCAUGCUGACGCUCGACGCUCGAUUUCGGCGUCAAAACUAAUCACGUGACCAAAUCUGUCAGUGGAAGGAGAAAUAGUGAACGUCAACGUUUGUUCAGUUUGUUCAGCAUUUUAAUGUCAACAAGCGUUUUUAGCAUUGUGACUACAGUUGCAGCAUUAACGAGUGAUUGUUACAUAUACACAUAAUGUCUAGUGUAUAUAAAUAUCAAGCAUGGAUUACUCAAUGUCAGAAAAUUAUAGACAAAACAAAAAAACAGAAACUGCGAAAAAGAGUUGUAAUGACUCUUAUUAUUAAUGAAAUUAUAAAACUGAAGAAAAAAAGGGCUUACAAAAAAAGCGUUUUUGGGUACAUCCACUAUUUCAACUGCGACACGUUCGUGGAUUUUAUAAAGCCAUAUUUCCAACACUUUUUGCAUGGAGACAAAUUUCAAAAUUAUUUACGUAUGACAACAAUUCAAUUUGAAGAACUAUUGUGUUUGGUUGGCCCUUUUAUUUCCAAACUAAAUGUAACAAAAAAGUCUAUACCUGCUGCAGAACGAUUGGUUAUGACAUUAAGAUAUUUAGCGACAGGUGACUGUAUGACUUCCACUUCUAAUCAAUAUCUUGUUGGCCUUACUACAACAAGUAAAAUCAUUCAUGAAACCUGUAAAACACUUUGGACUUGUCUUAGUAAGGAAGCAUUGCCGUAUCCUUUACAAAUAACAGAUUGGUUAAAUAUUGCUGAAGAGUUUGAAAACCAAUGGAAUUUCAACCAUUGCAUAGGUGCUAUUGAUGGAAAACGUGUUGUAAUUCAGUGUCCUGAUAAUGCUGGUUCUACUUACUUUAAUUAUAAAAAUAGUCACAGCAUCGUAUUGCUAGGAAUCUGUGACGCUAAUUACUUGUUUACAUUCAUUGACAUUGGUGCUUAUGGUCGACGUAGCGAUGGUGGAAUUUUAGAGACUCGCUAAUAGGUCAGAAAUUUAAUGAAAAAAAAAAGAA